CAAGAACCAGAUCCCGCCGGUGGUGGGGCUAUGCGUGUCAUUAGUUUUACCAGAUCCCUUCCGUCCCCCACCCGCACUACCGCGCCCAAGAGGAUUCAAAAGGGAGCGGCGGCGGCGAGAGGCCCGGCGCCGACCGCAACCCUAGCCCGAAUCAGCACCCGCCGGCCGACGCUUCCGGAGGGAGCCGCUGCGGCGGCCGAGGCCGACGACGAGGCGCGGCGCCCGUUCACGGCCCUUAGCCAGGUCUACGCCGACCUCGUCCUGGCGUGCGUCCCCCCCGGCGGGUCCCCGGCAAGCUGGCUAGAUCUUGCGUCCCCGGCGGGUCCCGUUUCCGUCCCUAGGGUUCCGAGGAGAGGGCGGAUGAACGGAGGCGGCGAGGCCAGCGAUUAUGGGAGCUCGGAGGGCGCGCCUCGUCGUCGGCCUCAGCCAGGUCCACGCCGACCUAGCCCUGGCGAGCGUCCCCCAGGAGCAAGCAAGUUAGUUGGCUAGAUCUCGCGGCCCGGCCGUCCCGUCCCCGAAGCUCCUGCUGGGCCUGGUUGGCUGUUUGCUGAUUGGCCUGGUUACUAAUGUGCGUAGGCCACAACUCCAGGAUGCUAAAAUUGAGUGCGGUCACCACGCAUACAACCAAACGUAGUUACUGCAUGAAAUCACGAUCGUGCGUGGUGGAGGCGGCAGCGGCAGCGAAUAGGUCAUUAGGGCACGGCAGGGCGGUAGCAGCCGGCGGCGCGCGGCUCCCAUGGGCCGGCGAGGUGGUGAACAGCGACUCAGCGAGGCCGUGAGGAUAUGGAUAUUUAAAGGAAUUGAUCUUGCUGAAAUUAAGAAAGAAUUUCAAAAUAUACCAAGAAGAAUGCCUUUGCCACAGUCAAUAAAGCUUUAUUAUAGACAUCUUUAUGCGUGUCUUAGUUAAUAAAGAUGAUAAAUUGGUGAUCUGUAAUCCAUAUAAUCUUCAUUUAGUGAGGACUGUAUGUUGUUGGUUGGUCUGUGCUGUUCUUCUUUUAUCGUCUAUAGGUGGGACAUGCUCUUUACCCUGCAUUUUUGUAUCCUUUUUAGGCUGUCGGUUUUCCAUUCCGGGUAUAUAAAUUCCUUCUAUUGGAUGCUUUGGUGGACACAAAAGCUUAACACAUGUUACAUCGUGCUAUUUGCUGAGGUGGAUGUUUGACUCCUUUCAUGUGUCAUAUAGAACAUCCAUAUGAGAUAAAGCAAAAAGGCAGAGACCAAAUAUAAGAACUGAGGGAUAUGUGGAAGAGGGACGGGAUGAGCUUGAGGCUUACAAGCCAUUCAAAUAAUCAGACGUGCAUGGUUUCUUGAAUUUUCAAUUGUUGAAUCUGUUAACCUGAAGAUUUUUCGUCUUCUUUGCGGCAAACUCCAGGUUAAAAUAUAAAACAGAAUCUGUCACCUGAAGGCAUUCUGUCGAGGCCUUGCUCAGAGAUUGGGAGUUUAGCUGAUAUGUAUUGUAUGCGGAUGAUUACGAGCAAGAUGCAAGGACACAAAAAGCUUGGGAUGCAGAAAGGUUAGAGGCGAGCUGCCGCUAGCGCACGGUGGCGUCCUGCAUCUCCCAUCCUUUUCAUCCCUCAGCUGCUGCCUCUGCAAGUAAUGCCAAACCUAUAGGCUAUAACAGGUUCAGGAGGUGUUUAUCCAAUGAUUCAGUAACUUAACAUUCUAAUUUACUUGCCUUCUGCUCAUGGGGCAUGGUGUCUUUAGGUUAUUGAAGGAAAUUGUGUAUGGAUGCCGACAUUCAGACUGGUCAGCUAAGAGACCAGGACAGGGAAUCUGGAGAGGUCCUUGGUCAUCAGCUGGUCCAUCAUGAGAUGUUGAUGUCCCAAGCUGAAUUUCAAGAUACUCGUGGCAGCAAUUUCCCACAAAAGUGUUGUGGUUUAAUUCGCUAUACUGUUAGAAUUACGCGAGGUAUGCGUAUAUCAUCGGGGUGGUGCUGAGUCAACUAAAAGUCAGAGGCGCUAAUAUGUGUGCAUUACCUACUUUUGUAUAUUUUGCAAUCAUGCACUUUGUUCUCUUAAUGAUUAACUGCGAACGAAAUGGAUGAGGGCAAUAAUGUUCAUGUGCUAGAACAGAACUCUGGAAACUUGAAUGGAAAGAACCUUUAAAGCAGGGGAUUACUGAUAAA
Long non-coding RNA from Aegilops tauschii subsp. strangulata, 2122 nucleotides. RefSeq lists it as uncharacterized. NCBI's taxonomy places the organism in Eukaryota, Viridiplantae, Streptophyta, Magnoliopsida, Poales, Poaceae. The record is from RefSeq and is a predicted model, not a curated record.